CUGUGAGUACCCCCCGGAGCCCGGCUGGGGGCCGGGCGGUCGCAGGUUCAAAUCCUGUCUCCCCGA
RNAcentral lists this transfer RNA (66 nucleotides) under Actinomycetota bacterium. RNAcentral describes it as "tRNA-Pro". The record is from RNAcentral. Lineage: Bacteria; Bacillati; Actinomycetota.